GUCUAUGUGGUUUAGUGGUCAAAGCGUCCGCCUCGGAUGUUGGAGGUCGCGGGUUGGAACCCCGGCCGAGUCA
Molecule: non-coding RNA, 73 nt
Organism: Potamilus streckersoni
Lineage: Eukaryota; Metazoa; Mollusca; Bivalvia; Unionida; Unionidae
Source: the annotation of a GenBank genome assembly